ACCUACGGGAGGCAGCAGUGAGGAAUAUUGGUCAAUGGGCGGAAGCCUGAACCAGCCAAGUCGCGUGAGGGAAUAAGGCCCUACGGGUCGUAAACCUCUUUUGCCGGGGAGCAAGGGCCGGGACGCGUCCCGGCCCGGAGAGUACCCGGAGAAAAAGCAUCGGCUAACUCCGUGCCAGCAGCCGCGGUAAUACGGAGGAUGCGAGCGUUAUCCGGAUUUAUUGGGUUUAAAGGGUGCGUAGGCGGGCUUUUAAGGCAGCUGUGAAAGUCCGCGGCUCAACCGUGGAAUUGCAGUUGAAACUGGAG
RNAcentral lists this ribosomal RNA (305 nucleotides) under uncultured bacterium. Its description in RNAcentral is "bacterial SSU rRNA". It matches the Rfam family "Bacterial small subunit ribosomal RNA", at positions 337 to 638 of the family's 1533-position model. The record is from RNAcentral.